Long non-coding RNA from Pelmatolapia mariae (spotted tilapia), 1409 nucleotides. RefSeq lists it as uncharacterized. Lineage: Eukaryota; Metazoa; Chordata; Actinopteri; Cichliformes; Cichlidae. The transcript is spliced from 3 exons. The record is from RefSeq and is a predicted model, not a curated record.
UUACAGUCUUUUCACUUUUCUGUUUACUGCGUGUAGUUUAUAAUGAGCCCAUGAACGCUGUCUGGUCUGCUGAUCCAAGACCUCUUUGAGGUACUUACCUCGAACAUGCUUUUGGACCAGUCUUUCUGACUCAGACUGAUGGCCAAACCUUUUACAGACUUCAGAGGAAACCAACAGCUUUUUCAGUGAGUAGUUUGCUCUCUGGCGGAAUCGGCUAUCUGCUGAGGUGUCUGCCCUGGAGGAGGUACCCUUGGACCACGAUUAUUGUUAGCAGGGAGCGAGAUGGCAGCUGUCAGUUACACCAGCCCUGCAAACCCAAGUGAUGAGAUGAUGCGGUGGACAGUGGAAACGAGCACCCCUGAAUAACUCCUGGCCACCAAGCUGGAAGAUGCUCCACUCAGUAGCUGGAAACACAAACCAAGGGUCUUACUUGUGGCACCUCAUUCCUUUCUGACUGAGCAGUACUGCCUCAGACUUCCUGCUCAGCCAUAUAACAGGCCUAGUUAACAGUGCCUGUGCAUACUGAGACAUUCAGGUUGAUCCUGGACUUCAGUGAUGAGUCCUGGUGAAUGAUUGUCAUGUUGUGUUUGGGUUUUUUGUGUCAUUUGUGUUGCACUGAUGGUAUUCCCUCAGUUCACACACUGUCCUAAUGCAGUUACACAUAAAUUGUGAUGUUGUGUGUAGUAUGGCUUACUGCUUCAAAUUCAGUUGGAGUAUAACAAAAAAAAUUUAUUCACAGGACUUUGUACAUUCUGUUCAUUUUUCACAUUGUUUGUUCAACAAUUCAAAUAACAAGUGUGACUUGUAUUAACAGAACUUAAAUUAUUUCGUCCACAUUUUACAUAUCCUGCACAAACAUAAAUAUGAAAACUACAAGUGUUUGUACAAUAAUGGGUCCUAUUCACACUACCAAGUGGCAGCAGUGGUCUUCCCACUCACCCCCUCACCUGAUGCGGGAUACUUGCAAUCCUACAGGCAGAGGGAAUCAAAGUGGCAGUUCACCACACAGCAACAGUACAGGUUUACAUGACUAGGUUCAAAUAAUUCAUAUUCCAAUGGUACUGUACAUACUUUGUAUUUUUUCUUUAGGUUGUCCCAUUUUGUUUCUUCGCCUGCAACUGGGUGAUUUGGCCCACCAGGCCCAUCUGCUCUACACUGAAAAAAUGGGAAUUGGCAGGCUUUUGAAUUUGCACAAAUGAAUUUAGUUAAUGCUACACAAGCCUUUCAUGUUUCUCUUAUUUACAUGAUUGAAUAAAGUACAAUUUACUUGAUUAUAAACAAUACUGAGACUACUCAUUUUUCUUGCAUUGAUUUAAAGUGACUAAAUUAGAAUACUAAAACCAUUGUAAUCAUGUUUGACCACAACCGGAAAUGAUGCAAUAUAUUCAAAGACAACAACUAAAUAUGAU